RNAcentral lists this ribosomal RNA (253 nucleotides) under uncultured bacterium. Its description in RNAcentral is "partial 16S ribosomal RNA". It matches the Rfam family "Bacterial small subunit ribosomal RNA", at positions 524 to 776 of the family's 1533-position model. The record is from RNAcentral.
UACGGAGGGUGCAAGCGUUAUCCGGAAUCACUGGGUUUAAAGGGUGCGUAGGCGGUUAGAUAAGUCAGAGGUGAAAGGUUGUCGCUUAACGAUAAAAUUGCCUUUGAUACUGUUUAACUAGAAUUAGGUUGAGGUAGGCGGAAUGCGACAUGUAGCGGUGAAAUGCAUAGAUAUGUCGUAGAACACCAAUUGCGAAGGCAGCUUACUAGACCUAUAUUGACGCUGAGGCACGAAAGCGUGGGGAGCGAACAGG